Molecule: ribosomal RNA, 465 nt
Filed under: uncultured Klebsiella sp.
Lineage: Bacteria; Pseudomonadati; Pseudomonadota; Gammaproteobacteria; Enterobacterales; Enterobacteriaceae
Description: bacterial SSU rRNA
Rfam family: Bacterial small subunit ribosomal RNA
Source: RNAcentral
CCUACGGGAGGCUGCAGUGGGGAAUAUUGCACAAUGGGCGCAAGCCUGAUGCAGCCAUGCCGCGUGUGUGAAGAAGGCCUUCGGGUUGUAAAGCACUUUCAGCGGGGAGGAAGGCGGUGAGGUUAAUAACCUCAUCGAUUGACGUUACCCGCAGAAGAAGCACCGGCUAACUCCGUGCCAGCAGCCGCGGUAAUACGGAGGGUGCAAGCGUUAAUCGGAAUUACUGGGCGUAAAGCGCACGCAGGCGGUCUGUCAAGUCGGAUGUGAAAUCCCCGGGCUCAACCUGGGAACUGCAUUCGAAACUGGCAGGCUAGAGUCUUGUAGAGGGGGGUAGAAUUCCAGGUGUAGCGGUGAAAUGCGUAGAGAUCUGGAGGAAUACCGGUGGCGAAGGCGGCCCCCUGGACAAAGACUGACGCUCAGGUCCGAAAGCGUGGGGAGCAAACAGGAUUAGAUACCCGAGUAGUC